Molecule: small nucleolar RNA, 137 nt
Organism: Rattus rattus (black rat)
Lineage: Eukaryota; Metazoa; Chordata; Mammalia; Rodentia; Muridae
Product: small nucleolar RNA SNORA79
Exons: 1
Source: RefSeq, a predicted model, not a curated record
UAAUGACUGUUCCUCCUGUUGCCUGUAGGCAUGGCACUAGGAUUUCAGGGCAUCAUAAAUGAAAGUUGAUUUUUUUUACUCAGAGAAUAUCAAGAUAUUGGGAUUAUCUAUGUAUUCUCUGAAAUUCUCUGAAAUUU